Molecule: microRNA precursor, 98 nt
Filed under: Ailuropoda melanoleuca (giant panda)
Lineage: Eukaryota; Metazoa; Chordata; Mammalia; Carnivora; Ursidae
Description: mir-544 microRNA precursor family
Rfam family: mir-544 microRNA precursor family
Source: Rfam by way of RNAcentral
AUCAUCAGGGGAACUUGUUAAAAUGCAGAUUCUCAUUUACUAAGUCUGGGGUGGAGCCCGGGAUUCUGCAUUUCUAACAAGUUCCCCGGCGAUACUGC